AUUGAACGCUGGCGGCAGGCCUAACACAUGCAAGUCGAACGGUAACAGGAAGCAGCUUGCUGCUUCGCUGACGAGUGGCGGACGGGUGAGUAAUGUCUGGGAAGCUGCCUGAUGGAGGGGGAUAACUACUGGAAACGGUAGCUAAUACCGCAUAAUGUCGCAAGACCAAAGAGGGGGACCUUCGGGCCUCUUGCCAUCGGAUGUGCCCAGAUGGGAUUAGCUUGUUGGUGGGGUAACGGCUCACCAGGGCGACGAUCCCUAGCUGGUCUGAGAGGAUGACCAGCCACACUGGAACUGAGACACGGUCCAGACUCCUACGGGAGGCAGCAGUGGGGAAUAUUGCACAAUGGGCGCAAGCCUGAUGCAGCCAUGCCGCGUGUAUGAAGAAGGCCUUCGGGUUGUAAAGUACUUUCAGCGGGGAGGAAGGGAGUAAAGUUAAUACCUUUGCUCAUUGACGUUACCCGCAGAAGAAGCACCGGCUAACUCCGU
RNAcentral lists this ribosomal RNA (489 nucleotides) under uncultured bacterium. Its description in RNAcentral is "partial 16S ribosomal RNA". It matches the Rfam family "Bacterial small subunit ribosomal RNA", at positions 30 to 506 of the family's 1533-position model. The record is from RNAcentral.